This 463-nucleotide ribosomal RNA is filed under the name uncultured bacterium. RNAcentral's name for it is "bacterial SSU rRNA". It matches the Rfam family "Bacterial small subunit ribosomal RNA", at positions 331 to 792 of the family's 1533-position model. The record is from RNAcentral.
CCAGACUCCUACGGGAGGCAGCAGUGAGGAAUAUUGGUCAAUGGCCGGAAGGCUGAACCAGCCAAGCCGCGUGAAGGACGAAGGUGCCAAGCAUUGUAAACUUCUUUUGUCAAGGGACAAAAUCAGGCUCGAGAGCCUGACCGAGGGUACUUGAAGAAAAAGCAUCGGCUAACUCCGUGCCAGCAGCCGCGGUAAUACGGAGGAUGCGAGCGUUAUCCGGAUUUAUUGGGUUUAAAGGGUGCGCAGGCGGUCUGUUAAGAGAGGGGUAAAAGCCGGGGGCCAACCCCGGGCGAGCCGUUGAAACUGGCGGGCUGGAGUUGGAGAGAAGUACGCGGAAUGCGCGGUGUAGCGGUGAAAUGCUUAGAUAUCGCGCAGAACCCCGAUUGCGAAGGCAGCGUACCGGCUCCACACUGACGCUGAGGCACGAAAGCGUGGGUAUCGAACAGGAUUAGAUACCCUGGUA